UGUAAUGUCGGUUAGUCCGGCACGAGCGCAACCCUGUCCUUAGUUACCAUCAUUAAGUUGGGGACUCUAGGGAGACUGCCGGUGUUAAACCGGAGGAAGGCGGGGAUGACGUCAAGUCCUCAUGGCUCUUACGGGAAGGGCUACACACGUACUACAAUGGUAGAAACAAAGGGCUGCGAAACCGCGAGGUCAAGCUAAUCCCUAAAACACUAUCUCAGUCCGGAUUGGAGUCUGCAACUCGACUCCAUGAAGUUGGAAUCGCUAGUAAUCGGAGAUCAGCACGCUCCGGUGAAUACGUUCCCGGGCCUUGUACACACCGCCCGUCACACCACGAAAGUGGUCUCAACCAGAAGUAGGUGAACUGACCUCGGAGGCAGCCUACCACGGUUGGGGCCGUGAUUGGGGUGAAGUCGUAACAAGGUAACCGUAGGGGAACCUGCGGUUGGAUCACCUCCUU
This 457-nucleotide ribosomal RNA is filed under the name uncultured marine bacterium 106. RNAcentral describes it as "bacterial SSU rRNA". It matches the Rfam family "Bacterial small subunit ribosomal RNA", at positions 1068 to 1532 of the family's 1533-position model. The record is from RNAcentral.